RNAcentral lists this long non-coding RNA (1040 nucleotides) under Nicotiana tabacum (common tobacco). Its description in RNAcentral is "long non-coding RNA (NTAB_LNC016059)". Lineage: Eukaryota; Viridiplantae; Streptophyta; Magnoliopsida; Solanales; Solanaceae. The record is from RNAcentral.
GCUUUUGUUCUAUGUGAUUUGGAGAAGAUGGGUUGGAACAGACUCCUCCUCUUUCUCUUUGCGGCUUUGUCUUAAACCAACAUCAUAUUUGUGGUAAAAAACAAAAUGGGUUUUAAUUGGUAAAAACAAAAUCAAGAGUUCCACUUUUUACGGGAGAGAAUUAAAUAGUUCAUUGAUGUGUUGUGAUACCUAAUGAAACUCACUUUGUAUUUCUCUAUUCAGUUAUUACAGUAAGUCUUCUUUGCGCAGAAGUGUAGUAAAUUGGAGCGCUAGCUAACUCUACGAAUCUUGUUGUGGAGAUUUAAGGUAAAUCUGUUAUUGUAUUCGCAUACUUUGGAGUCACCUUCUGAUAUUAUUCUUGCACUGUUUUAUCUCUACUUCAAAACAAUUGUAUUUAUAGGCUUUCUAGUAACUCAGUAGGGCUUAAUACUUGUACUACCGGUUUUGGGAUUGUAAGUAUUGUAUAGAGAUUUCUACUUCGCAUUUGUCAGUCGUUAAUUAAUAUUGUUAUUAUUUCAGGAAAUGUUAGGCUUAUCUAGUCCCUAAGACUAGGUGACAUCACGACAUCCUACGGAAGAAGAUUUGGAUCGUGACAAGUUGGUAUAACAACAACAACAAACCCAGCUUAAUUUCAUACGUGAGGUAUGAGAAGGGAAGUAUGUAUCGUGUACACAGCCUUACUCCUACCCUAUAAAGACAAAGAGGUCGUUUCUGAUUCUUUCUCUAUUCAGUUAUUAUAGUAGUUCCUUCUAAAACAUUCUCUAGUAAUUGUAACUUUCCUUGUUAUUCUUCUACUUACAGAACAAAUAAAAUUUAACUCUUACAAACCAUAAAGUAAAACUAAGCUUCAAGAUUCUACUCAUAUAACGUAGAAAUUUCUUUGCUCUAGCGCAUGAGCGGAAAAACUAGGGGCGAAAUCUUCGUCAAAAAAUCAUAUUGAAUAUAUACUAUCAAAUUCUUUUAUGUAUAUAUAUUAUAUGACGAAUUCGCUUAGUUUUUUUGCAUAUUAAUGUUUUUAGUUUUUGAAUUUUCUUGGUGAG